This 1085-nucleotide ribosomal RNA is filed under the name Lemidia sp. 3 NLG-2013. RNAcentral's name for it is "partial 16S ribosomal RNA". The record is from RNAcentral. Lineage: Eukaryota; Metazoa; Arthropoda; Insecta; Coleoptera; Cleridae.
GAUUAAAUUAAUUAUUUAUUAAUUUUAAAAAUUUAAUUUGUUAAUUAAUUAAAGUAAUUUAUUUUUUAUUAUUUAUUAAGAAAAAAUAUUUUUUAUUAUAGUUUAAUGUAUUGAGAAAGAAUAUUUUUAAUUUUAAAAAAGAAAAAUUUAAAUUUUGUACCUUGUGCAUCAGGGUUAAUUAAUAAUAAAUUAAUUAUUUUAAUAAUCUCGAAUUUAAAAGAGCUAAUUAAUUAUUUAUUUUAUUGUAAAAUAAAUAUUUAAAAUAAUUAAUUAGAAAUGAAACGUUAUUCGUUUUUAAAUAUAUCUAGUUUCUUAAUAAAUAAAUUUAAUUUAGUUAUUUAUAAUUAAAAUUUUAAAUUUUUAAUAUUUUAUUUAUAAAUAAGUAAUUUUUUUAGGGAUAAGCUUAAAAAAAAAUUUUUAUAAUUUAAUAAAUAAGAAAUAAAUUAUAGGAUUAUAAUUUUCUAUAAAUAAAAAAAUGUUAUAAUUAAUUAUUUUUAAAAUAAAAUUUUUAUUGAAUUUAAAUUUUUUAUUAAGAAAAAAUCUUUAUUUGAAAAAGUUUUGUUAUAAUGAUUAAAUUAGUAUAAAUUAAUGUAAUUUUAAAUUAUUAAUAAAGGUUAAUUUAAGGAAUUCGGCAAAAUAUUUUUCACCUGUUUAUUAAAAACAUGUCCUUUUGAUUAUAAUUUAAGGUCUAAUCUGCCCACUGAGGAAUUAAAUGGCCGCGGUAUUUUGACCGUGCAAAGGUAGCAUAAUAAUUAGUUUCUUAAUUAGAAGCUGGAAUGAAAGAUUGAAUGAGAAAAUAACUGUCUCAAGUUAAUUUAAUUAGAACUUUAUUUUUAAGUUAAAAAGCUUAAAUAUAUUUAAAAGACGAGAAGACCCUAUAGAGUUUAAUUAAAUUUAUUAAUAAAUUUAUUUAGAUUAAAAAAUUUUUAUUAAUAAAUUUAAUUUUGUUGGGGUGACAGAAAAAUUAAAUAAACUUUUUUUAUAUUUAUACAUAUAUAAAUGAAUUAUUGAUCCAAAUUUAUUGAUUAAAAGAUUAAAUUUCCUUAGGAUAACAGCGUAAUUUUUUUUGAGAGUUCUAAUCGAAA